AUUGGUUAAAAAUCACUCCCAGCUUUGGCUGUAGCUGGAAGUGAGAUGCAGCACCUAGAGCCAGCAGGGGCCUCAGCUCACUGCCCACUGCUUUGUGUGUGUGGGGUGAAACCCAAGCCCUGACAGGU
Molecule: small nucleolar RNA, 128 nt
Organism: Otolemur garnettii (small-eared galago)
Lineage: Eukaryota; Metazoa; Chordata; Mammalia; Primates; Galagidae
Source: Ensembl